GACGAACGCUGGCGGCGUGCCUAAUACAUGCAAGUCGAGCGCAGGAAACUGACGGAACUCUUCGGAGGGAAGGCAGUGGAAUGAGCGGCGGACGGGUGAGUAACACGUAAGGAACCUGCCUCAAGGAUUGGGAUAACUCCGAGAAAUCGGAGCUAAUACCGGAUAGUUCAACGGACCGCAUGGUCCGCUGAUGAAAGGCGCUCCGGCGUCACCUUGAGAUGGCCUUGCGGUGCAUUAGCUAGUUGGUGGGGUAACGGCCCACCAAGGCGACGAUGCAUAGCCGACCUGAGAGGGUGAUCGGCCACACUGGGACUGAGACACGGCCCAGACUCCUACGGGAGGCAGCAGUAGGGAAUCUUCCACAAUGGACGAAAGUCUGAUGGAGCAACGCCGCGUGAGUGAUGAAGGUUUUCGGAUCGUAAAACUCUGUUGUAAGGGAAGAACACGUACGAGAGGGAAUGCUCGUACCUUGACGGUACCUUACGAGAAAGCCACGGCUAACUACGUGCCAGCCGCCGCGGUAA
RNAcentral lists this ribosomal RNA (524 nucleotides) under uncultured bacterium. RNAcentral's name for it is "partial 16S ribosomal RNA". It matches the Rfam family "Bacterial small subunit ribosomal RNA", at positions 28 to 523 of the family's 1533-position model. The record is from RNAcentral.